UGCAUACUCCCUCCGUCCUAAAAUACUUAUCAUCAAAAUGGAUAAAAAAAAGAUGUAUCUAGAACUAAAAUACGUCUAGAUACAUCCCCUUUUAUCCAUUUUGAUGACAAGUAUUUCCGAACGGAGGGAGUAUAUA
Molecule: non-coding RNA, 136 nt
Organism: Triticum aestivum (bread wheat)
Lineage: Eukaryota; Viridiplantae; Streptophyta; Magnoliopsida; Poales; Poaceae
Source: Rfam